GUGUCAGCAGCCGCGGUAAUACGGAGGUUCCUAGCGUUGUUCGGAAUUACUGGGCGUAAAGGGGGCGCAGGCGGACAGGUCAGUGGAAAGUGGAAGCCCGGGGCUCAACCUCGGAAAGCCUUUCCAUACUGCCUGUCUUGAGUUCGUGAGAGGAAAGCGGAAUUCAGGGUGUAGCGGUGAAAUGCUUAGAUAUCCUGAGGAACACCAGUGGCGAAAGCGGCUUUCUGGCACGAAACUGACGCUGAGGCCCGAAAGCGUGGGUAGCGAACAGGAUUAGAUACCCUGGUAGUCCACGCCGUAAACGUUGUGCACUAGGUGCAGGAGGUAUCGACCCCUUCUGUGCCGGAGCUAACGCAUUAAGUGCACCGCCUGGGGAGUACGGUCGCAAGACUGAAACUUAAAUGAAUUGGCGGGG
RNAcentral lists this ribosomal RNA (415 nucleotides) under uncultured prokaryote. Its description in RNAcentral is "bacterial SSU rRNA". It matches the Rfam family "Bacterial small subunit ribosomal RNA", at positions 505 to 918 of the family's 1533-position model. The record is from RNAcentral.